Molecule: ribosomal RNA, 936 nt
Filed under: Sclerostagonospora fusiformis
Lineage: Eukaryota; Fungi; Ascomycota; Dothideomycetes; Pleosporales; Phaeosphaeriaceae
Description: partial 28S ribosomal RNA
Rfam family: Eukaryotic large subunit ribosomal RNA
Source: RNAcentral
UUUGACCUCGGAUCAGGUAGGGAUACCCGCUGAACUUAAGCAUAUCAAUAAGCGGAGGAAAAGAAACCAACAGGGAUUGCCCUAGUAACGGCGAGUGAAGCGGCAACAGCUCAAAUUUGAAAUCUGGCUCUUUUAGAGUCCGAGUUGUAAUUUGCAGAGGGCGCUUUGGCGUUGGCAGCGGUCCAAGUUCUUUGGAACAGGACGUCACAGAGGGUGAGAAUCCCGUACGUGGUCGCUAGCCUUCGCCGUGUAAAGCCCCUUCGACGAGUCGAGUUGUUUGGGAAUGCAGCUCUAAAUGGGAGGUAAAUUUCUUCUAAAGCUAAAUACUGGCCAGAGACCGAUAGCGCACAAGUAGAGUGAUCGAAAGAUGAAAAGCACUUUGGAAAGAGAGUCAAAUAGCACGUGAAAUUGUUGAAAGGGAAGCGCUUGCAGCCAGACUUGCCUGUAGUUGCUUAUCCGGACUUUUGUCCGGUGCACUCUUCUGCGGGCAGGCCAGCAUCAGUUUGGGCGGUUGGAUAAAGGUCUCUGUCAUGUACCUCCUUUCGGGGAGGCCUUAUAGGGGAGACGACAUGCAACCAGCCUGGACUGAGGUCCGCGCAUUUGCUAGGAUGCUGGCGUAAUGGCUGUAAGCGGCCCGUCUUGAAACACGGACCAAGGAGUCUAACAUCUAUGCGAGUGUUUGGGUGUCAAGCCCAGACGCGUAAUGAAAGUGAACGGAGGUGGGAACCUUUUAGGUGCACCAUCGACCGAUCCUGAUGUCUUCGGAAGGAUUUGAGUAAGAGCAUGGCUGUUGGGACCCGAAAGAUGGUGAACUAUGCUUGAAUAGGGUGAAGCCAGAGGAAACUCUGGUGGAGGCUCGCAGCGGUUCUGACGUGCAAAUCGAUCGUCAAAUUUGGGCAUAGGGGCGAAAGACUAAUCGAACUAUCUAGUAGCUGG